Molecule: transfer RNA, 77 nt
Filed under: Candidatus Stygibacter australis
Lineage: Bacteria; Pseudomonadati; Candidatus Cloacimonadota; Cloacimonadia (SeqCode); Cloacimonadales (SeqCode)
Description: tRNA-Met
Rfam family: tRNA
About the family: Transfer RNA (tRNA) molecules are approximately 80 nucleotides in length. Their secondary structure includes four short double-helical elements and three loops (D, anti-codon, and T loops).
Source: RNAcentral
GGCGGCAUAGCUCAGAUGGUUAGAGCAUCGGAAUCAUAAUCCGAGUGUCCGGGGUUCAAGUCCCUGUGCCGCUACCA